GGCGCCGGAGAUAGCACGUUAAUGGUACCCAGUUCCCAAAGGUUUACUGAAGUUAAGCAAUGUUGCGCGUGGUUGGUAAACAGAUGGGUGACCAUAUUGAAAAUCGCCUGCUGGCUUUU
RNAcentral lists this ribosomal RNA (119 nucleotides) under Diaphorina citri (Asian citrus psyllid). Lineage: Eukaryota; Metazoa; Arthropoda; Insecta; Hemiptera; Psyllidae. The record is from RNAcentral.